ACUCCUACGGGAGGCAGCAGUGGGGAAUAUUGGACAAAUGGGGGAAACCCGUAGCAUCCAGCCAUGCCGCGUGUGUGAAGAAGGCCUUCGGGUUGUAAAAGCACUUUCAGUGGGGAGGAAAGGUUGAUGGUUAAUACCUAUCAGCUGUGACGUUACCCACAGAAGAAGCACCGGCUAACUCCGUGCCAGCAGCCGCGGUAAUACGGAGGGUGCAAGCGUUAAUCGGAAUUACUGGGCGUAAAGCGUGCGCAGGCGGUCUGUUAAGCGAGAUGUGAAAGCCC
This 281-nucleotide ribosomal RNA is filed under the name uncultured bacterium. Its description in RNAcentral is "partial 16S ribosomal RNA". It matches the Rfam family "Bacterial small subunit ribosomal RNA", at positions 335 to 603 of the family's 1533-position model. The record is from RNAcentral.